AUUGAACGCUGGCGGCAGGCCUAACACAUGCAAGUCGAGCGGAUGAAGGGAGCUUGCUCCUGGAUUCAGCGGCGGACGGGUGAGUAAUGCCUAGGAAUCUGCCUGGUAGUGGGGGAUAACGUCCGGAAACGGGCGCUAAUACCGCAUACGUCCUGAGGGAGAAAGUGGGGGAUCUUCGGACCUCACGCUAUCAGAUGAGCCUAGGUCGGAUUAGCUAGUUGGUGGGGUAAAGGCCUACCAAGGCGACGAUCCGUAACUGGUCUGAGAGGAUGAUCAGUCACACUGGAACUGAGACACGGUCCAGACUCCUACGGGAGGCAGCAGUGGGGAAUAUUGGACAAUGGGCGAAAGCCUGAUCCAGACAUGCCGCGUGUGUGAAGAAGGUCUUCGGAUUGUAAAGCACUUUAAGUUGGGAGGAAGAGCAGUAAGUUAAUACCUUGCUGUUUUGACGUUACCAACAGAAUAAGCACCGGCUAACUUCGUG
Molecule: ribosomal RNA, 484 nt
Filed under: uncultured bacterium
Lineage: Bacteria
Description: partial 16S ribosomal RNA
Rfam family: Bacterial small subunit ribosomal RNA
Source: RNAcentral